RNAcentral lists this unclassified non-coding RNA (4602 nucleotides) under Mizuhopecten yessoensis (Yesso scallop). RNAcentral's name for it is "ganglioside-induced differentiation-associated protein 1-like, transcript variant X2". Lineage: Eukaryota; Metazoa; Mollusca; Bivalvia; Pectinida; Pectinidae. The record is from RNAcentral.
AAACGUCGGCCAUGGCUCAAGCUGGAGCGAAAUCAAAGAGGUUUACUCUUUACUAUUUUCCGACGUCGUUUUCAUCUCAAAAGGUGUUGCUGGGAUUCUAUGAAAAGGAGGUUGCUUUUAAGCCCAAACUGGUCAGUCUGUUUUCUGGUCAACACAAUGCACCCUGGUACGUGAAGCUGAAUCCCGAGGGAGCCCAUAUUCCAGUCCUGAAGGAUGGGGAAACUAUCAUCACAGAACCGGACAAAAUCAUAGACUAUAUCGACAGCAACUCAGAAUCCUCAGUGCCAAAACUAAUUCCAGACCAGGAGUCAGAGCUUGGAAAGAAAGUAGCAGAGUUACGGAAACGUUUGCAAAUGGUAGAAGUGGACAUAAUUACAUAUGGAAUAAUUUACCAUCCACACUUGUCACCUGUUGGAUGUCGAAUUCAGGGGGCAGUCAUGAGGAGUAUGAGGGAAAAUUUUGCCAACCGUCUGGCUGUACUGACAGACUUAGCUGCUAAACACCCAGCUCUUAGAGACAGCUACCUGAUGAAGAGUCAGACAGCGGCCCAGAAGUUUGAUGUCAUUACAGAUGCUGCACAGGUACAGCGCCACCUGGAGGAGUUACAGAUCACCAUGGAUACAGUGGAACAACAACUGAAAAGUAUCAAGGAAGGGAGUCCUGACAUUGCUGAUGACCUGUGGCUGUUUGGGCCGAUGUACACUGUAGCAGAUAUCAGUCUGACAGUACUGUUGAGUAGACUUGCUCUCUUGGGCCUCGACAAAACCUACUUCUCCCAGGAAAACAACCCAUACACACACAACUACUACAACCAGGUGAAGAAACGACCCACCUACCUGAUGAUACAAAAGGAAAUCUCAAAUCUAAGAAUGACAUUACUAUGGGAAAAUUUGAAGACAGCCUCUCCAUACCUUGCAGGUUUAGUUGGUGUAGGAAUUGUAGGGACAAUAGGAUACUUUGUUUAUAAAAAGUGGAAUGAAUAGGACUCUUUAUUUGGUUAAUUUAUUAUUUUUAGGAUUAUAGAAAUAGUGUUGUGAAUGUUUAACUCAUUCACCCUUGAAGACACAGUUGAACUCCUCCAAUUCUUAGGUUGGAAUAGUUCAUCAUGAAAUUUCAGUGGGUGAAUGAGUUAAAAAAUGAAAUCUGUAAUGUUUUCUAGAUGCUGCAGAAGUAAGGAAAACAUAUUCUACAGUGUAUUGUUUUGCUGUAUAGUUUACUUUUGUGUAAUUAUGGAUGAUAAUUGUACAGCUGAACUAAUUCUACCUGGUUUACAUGGCAUCCACAGAGUUAUUUACAUCUACAGGGGUGAGAGGGUGGUAUAGAGUUAUGUACAUCUACAGGGGUGAGAAGAUGGUACAGAGUUAUGUACAUCUACAGGGGUGAGAGGGUGGUACAGCGUUAUGUACAUCUACAGGGGUGAGAGGAUGGUACAGAGUUAUCAACCUCUACAGGGGUGAGAGGGUGGUACAGAGUUACGUACAUCUACAGGGGUGAGAGGGUGGUAUAGAGUUAUGUACAUCUACAGGGGUGAGAGGGUGGUAUAGAGUUAUGUACAUCUACAGGGGUGAGAGGGUGGUAUAGAGUUAUGUACAUCUACCGGGGUGAGAGGGUGGUACAGAGUUACGUACAUCUACAGGGGUGAGAGGGUGGUAUAGAGUUAUGUACAUCUACCGGGGUGAGAGGGUGGUACAGAGUUACGUACAUCUACAGGGGUGAGAGGGUGGUAUAGAGUUAUGUACAUCUACAGGGGUGAGAGGAUGGUACAGAGGUAUGUACAUAUACAGGGGUGAGAGGAUGGUACAGAGGUAUGUACAUCUACAGGGGUGAGAGGGUGGUAUAGAGUUAUGUACAUCUACAGGGGUGAGAAGAUCGUACAGAGUUAUGUACAUCUACAGGGGCGAGAGGGUGGUACAGAGUUAUGUACGUCUACAAGGGUGAGAGAGUGGUACAGAGGUAUGUACAUCUACAGGGGUGAGAGGGUGGUACAGAGUUACGUACAUCUACAGGGGUGAGAGGGUGGUAUAGAGUUAUGUACAUCUACCGGGGUGAGAGGGUGGUACAGAGUUAUGUACGUCUACAAGGGUGAGAGAGUGGUACAGAGGUAUGUACAUCUACAGGGGUGAGAGGCUGGCACAGAGUUAUGUACAUCUACAGGGGCGAGAGGGUGGUACAGAGUUAUGUACAUCUACAGGGGUGAGAGGGUAAUCAUUCUAAUAUUCUGUAGGUAGAUAAGUUUUGAACUGAUCUACAUGGACUGUUGUGAUGGUUGUGUGUGUUCUUUAGUUUAUAUAAGUUAUGACCUUAAAAGGUGUUUCUGUAUUUGUAGGUAGUGAUCAAUUCUGUGUAUGCACUCAUUCCAUCACUUAUUUAUGUGCCAUCAUAAGCCAGAGAUUUUAAAAUUCAAAUAAAUUAUUGGAAAACAAUGCAUAAUUCUAAUUCCAAUAACUUGAGAGAAUUUUAAAAGAAGUAGUUUUUCUGUAUAUUUAAUAUUUUUGAAGUUGAGACAUGAUAUGGACUAAAAGAGGUGUGCAUAUCCAAAUAAAUGUACUAAAGUUACCAAAGCUAGCUAGUUACAUAAAUACAUUAUUUGAAUUACAGGUAUCGACAACGUUUUAAGUUUGAACAUAUUUAAACCUAAGAAGCAUUUUAAUCAUACAAUUUGAUUGAAAAAUGUCAAUAUGUUUUGACGGGUAGAUGCAUGCAUUAAGUUUUACAUUCAUGUAUUUUUUACCACCUCAAAGUAUGCAAGAUAUAAUCUGUCCCAUGUGGGACACGCAUGGAAGAUUAAUAAAAUCUGUCAACCCCUACGAGGUAAGAUAGGGAAAUCUCAAUCCAAGGGGCAAGUUUCUGAAUUUCCCAAACAGGAGGUUUGCCUAGUGUUUUUCAUUUUAAGUCUUUCUCCGAGGGUUGAGAUUCCCCAUCUCACUUCAAAUGAGUGAAUGAUUCUUUUUCUCUUAUUCUGUUGACCUAGUCAUAUACAUAAUGCAAUGUUGAUGUGAAAGGCUCAAUACUCAAUUCUUUGUUGACAUUAAUGCAUUGUUUACGUGACAUCAUUAAAUUGUUGACAUGUCAUUAGUUGACAUGGGAAUCCCCCCUCUCGGUUUUUUUCAACCCUAGGGUGAGACGGGAUAUCUCACACUGGGAAAAAUGUGGAUAGGCCUAUCCAGGUUAAGAGCAAACUAUAUCCCAAUUAGGUGAACCCAGUGAAAUCUAACUUAGCUACAAGGAAGAAGAGUUCUACUUUUUCACAUUUAUUCUGAACUUUCACGAAAAACAUUUCGGCUGCACCCAAGGAAUUUCAUCCCCUGACCUCUUUCUCAUGAAGCAGGGAGCUAAUCCUACACACUACUGGACAUGGUACAUCACUGAAAAUACUGACACAAUGUUCUACCUCCCUAAUACGGUCUAUAAUUGUCUUUGUAUAAAUACAGAGGAAAUAACUUAAAUGUAACGGGAAAGUAAUUUUUCAAUCCUGAAUGCAGUAGAAAAGUGAUGGCACUUCGGUACAUCUUCCAUAUAGAUGUACAUGAACCACAUUGUCUGCUCCAAAUAUGUCUGUGGUUAAUUUGUAUGUUUAAUAUCUAGAAAAUCUGCAUGUUCUUUCUGCCAUUAGGUAAUUGUUGUGUUAGCAAUAUCAGUGUCAAGAAUCACGUUUAUAAAGUCAUAGAAUGUAGGUGGGAGAAAAAAGAAUCAAUUGUUAUGUUUCUGUAGGUACGUUUUUUGUAUGAGAGAUAUUAACAUCAGUACCUACAGUUAGAAUGUGACUAUACCCCAUACCUAUACAUGAUAAAAUUUGUUAAUAUUUACACUUUUAUAUUAUUUGGUCCUUGUAGUUUAUCCGGGUAUAUUGUGUACCAGUUACAUCUACAGAGAUUUAGAUAUUGGCUUACGACCUUAACUCAUUCAGCCCUGAAACUUCAUAAUGAACUUUUCCAUCCUUCGAAUUUGAAGAGUUCAAAUGUGUCUUCUGGUGUGAAUGAGUUAAAUGAUGAUUUAUGAUGUCAUGUUUUGGUCAAUAGAACAGUACAAAUGUACCACUCAAGCUAUACUCGUGUACAUUUUUUUUUUUUAACAGAAUUAACUUUUAUGUGUAUCAUUUGUUAUGAACAAAAGUUCAGAAAAAGUCAUAACUAUUAGUAUACCAACACCUAGGAGCUUCCAUUUAAGUCAUCACUUGUUGGAUAUCCUCUGUGUACAAGAUAUAAAAUUUCAUAGCAGCAGAAUUUUGACGUAAUAACAACCAUUUAUUUGGUAAUCUCUGCUGUUCAUUGUAUCUGCUAACCUUUGUCUCAGAGGAUGGUUCAUUGUAUGCUCAAAAGUCAUGGAAGUCUGUGUGUUGGUUCUAUAAUGCAACUUAGAUUUGUUUGCCACCUUAAUCGUAACACACAAAGGAGCAGAUUACAAGGUAGACAAAUUGAUCAAUCAAAAUAGGAUGCAUUCUUCGUAUUUAAGACCAAUUUUCGAAAUUGAAAUAUUUAUAGUCAAUAACCAAGAUCUGUGUAAACAAGAAAAGAUAGAUGUUUUACAUUUACGGGGAGGUAAGCCAUACUUGUCUACCAUGUGUUGACAUUCCUUAAACUGGAGUUACACUUCCUGUCCUGU